AGGGUGUAAACGCUGCAGACUUGGUGUUGGGAACCCUUCGGGGGUGCUCAGUGCCGGAGAGAAGUUGUUAAGUCUGCUACUUGGGGAGUACGUCCGCAAGGAUGAAACUUAAAGGAAUUGGCGGGGGAGCACCGCAACGGGAGGAGCGUGCGGUUUAAUUGGAUUCAACGCCGAAAAACUCACCAGCAGCGACUGUUACAUGAAAGUCAGGUUGAUGACCUUGCUUGACAAGCUGAGAGGUGGUGCAUGGCGUGUGACUGU
Molecule: ribosomal RNA, 261 nt
Filed under: uncultured archaeon
Lineage: Archaea
Description: partial 16S ribosomal RNA
Rfam family: Archaeal small subunit ribosomal RNA
Source: RNAcentral